Molecule: ribosomal RNA, 438 nt
Filed under: uncultured bacterium
Lineage: Bacteria
Description: bacterial SSU rRNA
Rfam family: Bacterial small subunit ribosomal RNA
Source: RNAcentral
GCAAAACGCGAAGAACCUUACCUACUCUUGACAUCCAGAGAACUUAGCAGAGAUGCUUUGGUGCCUUCGGGAACUCUGAGACAGGUGCUGCAUGGCUGUCGUCAGCUCGUGUUGUGAAAUGUUGGGUUAAGUCCCGCAACGAGCGCAACCCUUAUCCUUUGUUGCCAGCGAUUCGGUCGGGAACUCAAAGGAGACUGCCAGUGAUAAACUGGAGGAAGGUGGGGAUGACGUCAAGUCAUCAUGGCCCUUACGAGUAGGGCUACACACGUGCUACAAUGGCAUAUACAAAGAGAAGCGACCUCGCGAGAGCAAGCGGACCUCAUAAAGUAUGUCGUAGUCCGGAUUGGAGUCUGCAACUCGACUCCAUGAAGUCGGAAUCGCUAGUAAUCGUGGAUCAGAAUGCCACGGUGAAUACGUUCCCGGGUCUUGUACACACCG